This 443-nucleotide ribosomal RNA is filed under the name uncultured bacterium. RNAcentral describes it as "partial 16S ribosomal RNA". It matches the Rfam family "Bacterial small subunit ribosomal RNA", at positions 338 to 795 of the family's 1533-position model. The record is from RNAcentral.
CCUACGGGAGGCAGCAGUGGGGAAUAUUGGGCAAUGGGCGCAAGCCUGACCCAGCAACGCCGCGUGAAGGAAGAAGGCUUUCGGGUUGUAAACUUCUUUUGUCAGGGACGAAGCAAGUGACGGUACCUGACGAAUAAGCCACGGCUAACUACGCGCCAGCAGCCGCGGUAAUACGUAGGUGGCAAGCGUUAUCCGGAUUUACUGGGUGUAAAGGGCGCGUAGGCGGGGAAGCAAGUCAGAUGUGAAAACCACGGGCUCAACCCGUGGCCUGCAUUUGAAACUGUUUUUCUUGAGUGCUGGAGAGGCAAUCGGAAUUCCGUGUGUAGCGGUGAAAUGCGUAGAUAUACGGAGGAACACCAGUGGCGAAGGCGGAUUGCUGGACUGUAACUGACGCUGAGGCGCGAAAGCGUGGGGAGCAAACAGGAUUAGAUACCCGUGUAGUC